UUAGAAAGCCAAUGAGUUAUAGCUCAAAUGGCAUAGUCUCCCCAUACUCAAUUAAGAGAUUCUAAGUUCGAGUCUUCUAUCUCUGAUAAAAAAAAAAAAUUAGAAAAUCGUGGACAAUAUCUUCUCUUCGUAGCCAUGGGUUUCAUUCAUAUAACCACUUUCUAGUCAGAGCUAGGAUUUUUGAACCCCAAUACGGCAAUACAUUCACUAGCCAGCAUACACAAAUGGCAACCAGUUUGAAGAUGUUCCUUUCUCAAUCAUGAAAAUUUUUGUUCCCUAAUAAAUAAAAAAGGGUUUUUGGGCAGAAAAUUAAAAAAAAAUUUGGAUCAUGGUAUGGGCCGGAAAACCGGACCCACACCUAGAAUAAGAGAACCGGGUAUAACCCAAAUCACAAACAACCCAGCGAAACAUCUACCGCAUUCACAAACCUUAUAACUCUCCAACGGUUAUGCAUUUGUUGAGCACACCGCAGAGGAGACUGCAAGCACAGGGACAGCAUUGAAAGAGAUGAAUGACAAGGUAGCUUCAUCUCUUUUUUCUUGCUAUUGAAAAAUGAACUUUUGCCUCAUAUUUGUUUUUUCCCUUUUGAACUUAUUAUUAAUGGGUGGAUGAUACUGGUGGAUGUUGCCAAGACACAACAGAGUCCUUCAAGUACGAACCCACUAUUUCCUGCUCUGCAGUGUGAUCUUAUUUGGCUCAACCUUUUGAUGUAAGUCAAGUUACAGGCUAAAGAGGACUACAGUACCUUAUGCUGUAAAUUCACAGUUUAGCUCUUCUACAUUACAAGGAUGCAAGUGCACCAAGAACCUGCAGUUUGUAGCCUUAUAAACCUGAAGUGUGCAUUUUAGAAAGCUAACUCGCUGUUGCUGUUGCUGUUGCUUCUGCUGCAUAAACAGAAAAAAACAUUCAAAUCCUGCUGCCCCUCUUGCUAAUCCCUCAUUACCUCCUCAAUCUAGUGGAUAUUCUAGGCGUAAAAAUCGAUUAUAGAUAUGGAAGUAUAGAGAAGUAUGCGAGACGUAAAAAUUACAAUGGUCAAAUAAAAUAUGCGGGGAGAACACGUGCUAUGCAUCAACAUUGGAAGCGAUGCUUUGACUUGGACAAUGAGCAGAGCAAGAGAAAAAAGACAAAAGGGAGAACAAGUGGUCCUAUAUCCUCACCGAGUGUUACCAAGUUUGACCGAGCAUUAUUUUGAAGUAUCCUCAUUGAGAUGUUUGUGAUCGAAGAGCUAGUUUUUCGAUUUGUAGAAAGAAAUGUGUUUCGAAGGCUCUUGAUAGCUUGCAACCCAAGUUUAAAAUCCCUUUCCUGUACUAUAUUGGCCCGUGAUAUAUUUUCUCUUUAUGAUAUAGAGCAAGUGAAGUUACAAAAUUAUCUCUCUCAACAUGGAAAAGUGUGUCUUACAACUGACACUUGGACGUCGAGUUGAAAUUUGACUUAUAUGUCUCUAACGGCACACUUUAUUGACAAUGAUUGGAAGUUGCAAAAGAGGAUAUUGAUUUUUUGUCGGGUGAGAGUCAUCCAGGAGAAAUACUUGGUAGAGCUAUUGAAGGUUGUUUGGAUGUUUGAAAAUUGCAUCAAGUUUUUACUGUAAUGGUUAACAAUGCAACUUCUAAUGAUGUUGCAAUUUUAUACUUGAAAAAGAGAUUAAAUGCAUGAAAUAGUCUAAUUUUGAAGGGGGACUAUCUUCAUUGCAUUGUUGUGCCUAUAUCUUAAAUUUGACAGUGAAAGAUGACUUGAAAGAUAUUGAUGAUUCGAUUAAAAGAAUUCGCAAUGCAGUGAAAUAUGUCAAGUCAUCUUCUAUGAGAAGUGAAAGUUUCAAAGCGUGCAUUGAGCGGGAGGGCAUCAACUAUAAAGAGCUUGUUUGUUUGGAUAUCAAAACUCGAUGGAAUUUGACAUAUUCAAUGUUGGAGGCAGCAUUGAAGCUUCGAACGACGUUUGAUUUGUUAGAGUUGCAAGAUGAUAAAUAUAAGAAUGAGAUGAACAAAUCUUAUGGUGUGCCUACAGAUAAUGAUUGGACUUAUGCAGAGUCAAUUUUACCAUUCUUAAAAAUAUUCUAUGAUGCUAAAUUGCGUACUUUUGGGAGUUUGUAUGUUACUAGUAAUAAAUACAUGAAAGAAGUCUUUUAACAUUGGAAGAAAAAUCAAGCUGCAUUGUGAAAAUAGUGAUUUGAGCAUAAGAUCAAUGAGGUCCAAGGUGUAAAGGAAAUAUGAUAAGUACUAGAAAAUUCCAAAUGGCAUUAACAUGUUAAUUGCAAUUAUGCUUGAUCCAUGUCACAAGUUGAAUUUUGUAAAUUGAAUUUUUGAUGAGUCAUUUGGUGUAGAAAAGGGAGGAAAACUCAAGUCAAAAUUAUUUACUUGCUUGAAUUCCCUUUAUAAAUCACUACCAAGGCAAAGAGAAUGAGUUUUAAAGUAAUCAAGAUGCAAUGAUCAAUGGAGAGGAAGAAGAUGAUAUCCUAAAUAUUUAUUUGCAAUCAACUGCAUCAGAUGCUAAAUUUAAACUUGAUAGAUAUCUAAAAGAAGAUUGUAAGCCUAGAAACAAGUUGGCAAAGUUGGAUAUUUUAGAUUGGUGGAAAGGAAAUUCAACCCAAUUUCCUAUGCUUGCACGUAUGGCUCGAGAAGUUCUAGCCAUACCAGUUAUACGGUUGCUUUUGAAAGUGCGUUUAGUACAGAAUGAAGGAUUAUUGAUCCUUAUCGGAGCUCUUUGACACUACAUAUAGUGGAAGUUUUUGUAUGAACUCAUGAUUGGGUAAUAGAUGAGCCUCUUAGACUAAUUAAAAAUUUUAAAGAGAUUGAAAAAGCUAAACAUGGUAAUGUACUUUUUUUUAUUGCUUGUUUGUUACUAAUGGUUAGUUUUCUAUAAUUAAUGAGAUUUUUUUUAUGUAGGGAGAAUUCUACAACAAAUGUUGGCACACAUAUUUCUUUAGAAGAUGGUUAAAAUAUUGUAA
Molecule: non-coding RNA, 2941 nt
Organism: Arachis ipaensis
Lineage: Eukaryota; Viridiplantae; Streptophyta; Magnoliopsida; Fabales; Fabaceae
Source: RefSeq, a predicted model, not a curated record